ACACCCUUUCAGAAUGCAUUUUCAUACAGUUAUGAACAGAGUACAUUAGAUUAUCAUAUUUAUUGGUCAAAUAAUUACCAGUUAUGACUUCUUAUAUCUACUGUGUAUGAGGAACUGUGCUAAGCAAAGGUUAAUAUAUGAGCCAUCAGGAGAGACAUAAAUCACAAAAAAUCUACAUGAAGCAAGAAGCACAAGAUGCUGUGUCUGAACAAAUAUAAUCUCUGUCUUCUAUAGUCUUUUAGCCCAGUACAUAGAUAAUACAGACAAAUAUAUUUGUAUUGGGUGAGUGGGAGGAGGUAGAAGAUAACUUCAAAAGAGAUUUCUCUCUUAUAUAAAAGCAUAUUUGUUAUGAAAACUUUCAGAAAUCCAGAUUUAACCUUUGUUUUAUUCCCUGGGGAAGGGA
RNAcentral lists this long non-coding RNA (403 nucleotides) under Bos taurus (domestic cattle). Its description in RNAcentral is "long non-coding RNA NONBTAT009692". The record is from RNAcentral. Lineage: Eukaryota; Metazoa; Chordata; Mammalia; Artiodactyla; Bovidae.